This 889-nucleotide ribosomal RNA is filed under the name Hexagrammos otakii (fat greenling). Its description in RNAcentral is "partial 16S rRNA". The stretch from base 191 to 889 matches the Rfam family "Bacterial large subunit ribosomal RNA", at positions 566 to 1687 of the family's 2925-position model. Lineage: Eukaryota; Metazoa; Chordata; Actinopteri; Perciformes; Hexagrammidae. The record is from RNAcentral.
UGCCUAACAGCUAGCCCACCCAAACAAUUUCAACAAACCCCUGUUAAUAACCCCUAAGUACCCCAGUAUUUAUUUUAAACAAACCAUUUUUCCCCCUUAGUAUAGGCGAUAGAAAAGGGCCCACGGCGCAAUAGAGAAAGUACCGCAAGGGAACGCUGAAAGAGAAGUGAAACAACCCAGUAAAGCCUAAAAAAGCAGAGAUCUAAACUCGUACCUUUUGCAUCAUGAUUUAGCAAGUGUAACCCAAGCAAAGCGUACUUUAGUUUGACGUCCCGAAACUAGGUGAGCUACUCCAAGACAGCCUAUCAAUAGGGCGUACCCGUCUCUGUGGCAAAAGAGUGGGGAGAGCUUUGAGUAGAGGUGACAAACCUACCGAACCUAGUUAUAGCUGGUUGUCCAAGAAAUGAAUAGAAGUUCAGCCUUUCAGCUUCUCUUUUCACCUUAGUCUGACCCCUAUUGAUGCAUUAAAGAAACCGAAAGAGUUAGUCAAAGGGGGUACAGCCCCUUUGAAUCAAGACACAACUUUACCAGGAGGGUAAAGAUCAUAAUAAUUAAAGCUAAAUGUUCUGGUGGGCCUAAAAGCAGCCAUCCCCUUAGAAAGCGUUAAAGCUCAGACAUGCGACCAUACUUCUUAUCCUGAUCACUUAAUCUUACCCCCCUAACCGUACUGGACCAUCCCAUGCCAACAUGGGAGUGACUAUGCUGAAAUGAGUAAUAAGAGAGCUACCGGCUCUCUCCCUGCACACGUGUAUAUCGGAACGGACAACCCACCGAACCUUAACGGCCCCAAAUAAAGAGGGCAGUGGAUGUUAGACCAAAAAACUAGAAAAAUAUCCAAAAACCAACCGUUAAACCCACACAGGUGUGCCCCCAGGGAAAGACUAAAAGA